Carassius carassius (crucian carp) is the source of this 2472-nucleotide long non-coding RNA. RefSeq lists it as uncharacterized. The transcript is spliced from 3 exons. The record is from RefSeq and is a predicted model, not a curated record. Lineage: Eukaryota; Metazoa; Chordata; Actinopteri; Cypriniformes; Cyprinidae.
UGCAUUAAAUGCUGAAAUUUACAUUAACUAAGAUUAAUAAAUGCUAUGUUCAUUCUUAGAUCAUGUAAACUAAUGUAGUAAACUAAUGAACCGUGUAAAGUUGUUACCUUAUUAACUUCUUGACUUUUUUUAGUUUAUUUGCAAACUAAAUAAAUACAAUAGACUAUUUUUUAGAAGUCAUCACUAAGGCCUGUGCUUGCAAUAUUAUAGAUAACAUAGGUAGACAUUAUUAACAUCUUUUUUUCUUUCUUUUCAUUUGUUAACAAUUAACUAAUGUGUAAUUUGUUCAAUGAAGACUAGCACCACUUUUCUUUGUUGCAGAGGGAUAGUCAGACAUCUGAGAUUCCAAUAACAGGCAUAUUCCCAUCUGUUUACUAGAUCACCUGAUGACAUAAACAAAACAUCAUGAUGCAUGACAAACAACAAGUGCGAUGACAGCAAAGGAUUGUGACAUCCAGCCUUGUCCUCCCCUCCUUGACAUGCCACCCCCUGUCACCACAGACAAUGUCAAUCACAGAAAAUAGAAGCAACUGUCAGAGAUGCUAUCACAGUGUGGGCAACCUUUUGUUGCAAAUGACUGAAAUCUGACAGGUAACUGUAGCUAUUGUUCACUUCAUUGCAUUUAGAAUGAAAGAGAAGCACUAUGACGUAUAAGAAGGAAGCACAAUGGUUAUUGCGUGUUUAUUCAAGAAACGAGCCUCAGGUCUCGGAUGUAAUGGAAUUGACCCACGGUGAACUGUUCUAUAACAUGGAGCAAGUGUUUUUUUCUUGAUUUGUGGGGGAUUUAUGCUGUUCAGGAGGAACAAGAGACACUAUGACACACUUCAAAAGAAAUAAUGGUGCUGCUGUGCAUUUUUGCAGUCAAUCUAAUCUGGUAAUCCUCCCAUCUUCCUUCAUGCUGAUGACGCUUCACAGGAGAGUGCGGACUGGACUUUUUAAUGGCUUUCAUGGGUGGGGGAGGAGGAAAAGAAAAGCUGUUUAUUGAUGGAGAAAUAUCCUUUCAAUGCUCAUGCAUGCUGUUGAAGCCAACCCAACGCAAUAACAACCAAUUAAAGCAGUGCCCCAUAAAAAUAGAUCACAGCACAACUAGAUUAAACGAUAAUUUAGGUCUCAAUUCAAUAAAAGUGAGGCAAAGCAAUUUAGAUCUUCACAAUAAGCAGGAAAUAUAGAAUGCAUUUGUCAACACCAUUUGCAUAGAAAUGACUUUUCAUCACUUUCCAUUAUUGUGUGAAUUUCGCUUGAGCCAAUACAUUUUCUCAACAUAACUCAAUGGAAGCAAUUGGUCUGGAGUUAACAGCAUUAGGUCUCUGUUCUCGAAGCUACAGAAACAAAUUGCUGUUGGACUUUUUCUCAACUAAAAAUCGAAGCAUUCAAAUAGUUUCACUUGUUCCAAGCCUAAUCUAAUUUUCGAGCGAAAUGCAUCUAAUGUUUCAACCUGAUAACGGUUUGUGUUUCCAAUUCUGCCACCAUUUCAGCUGUACAAUAAAUUGAGUUUUAAGAUGUACAGCAAAAUUGGCUUAUAAUAGCUUAAUUGCCAUAAUAAUUUAACUGACUUUGUUUCUCUCAAGCUUUAGAGUAAGAACAGUCCAUUUAGCUUCAAAAUGCGAGUGUUUGUGAAUAAUUUCCAGAACAGAGUCAGAUGUAUGCAAGUCACGCAACCAGAUCUCUAAAUGACAGAAGUAACUUUGCGAGCUCUUUCAUUUCAAGGACACUGAAGAAAGUGCUAAUCUGAAGCAUCCAAGCAUGCAAUCAAUCUUUUUUUUUGUUUUGCUUUUGAUAGUUAACAUCUCUUUGCAUUGUAUAUUUCAUCAUCUUUGUCUAAUGCGGUCUUCGAGAUUGUCGUGAUGCUCUUUUAACCAGUGAAUAAAAGCAGUCCUAGCACAGCAAUAAAUGAUGAAGGAUAAAUAUGUGCUGUAAUAACCUUGAAUCUGUGGCAGAAUAUCAUGCUGUGGGAUAGAUUUACAUAACAAAAGAUGUCUCUUGGAGCUCAAUCACAAGUAAAGAGAGCCGAAGCAGGAACAUGGCAUUUCACAGGCUACAUAUUAUGAGUAUAUUAAUAGAUGAUGACACUCCUCAAUCCGGGUCGACAUCAAAGAUAUGAGCCCUGGGAUAACCACGUAUUAGCACCUGUGAUACCAAGCUGGCUCUCUCACACUGUGGCUAACAUUUACCUGCAGGAUCUUCUGAAAUACUCAGGGUGGUUGUAUUUGUUGCCACACAUGGCAUAUAACAUUUUCCCUUGCACUAGCAGAGAAACUUGGUGAUUAAACGAUGGCCUGAGAGACCACAUAUCGACAUGCUGAUAGCGGUCCAGAUUGUCUUAACACUGUGCUUUGUCUUCAUGGGACAUGCAUGCAGUAAAAGGUCAUUUAGGUCCUUAAUUAACCCAUAGGGAAAUUAUAUCGGCUAGAGAAGGAGAGAUUAAAUGAGAAAGUUAUCUAACCUCACAAAUGCCCCAUGAUGUAUAUGAAA